This 429-nucleotide ribosomal RNA is filed under the name uncultured bacterium. RNAcentral describes it as "bacterial SSU rRNA". It matches the Rfam family "Bacterial small subunit ribosomal RNA", at positions 355 to 776 of the family's 1533-position model. The record is from RNAcentral.
UCGAGAGGCUUCGGCAAUGGGGGAAACCCUGACCGAGCGACGCCGCGUGGGCGAUGAAGGCCGUUAGGUUGUAAAGCCCUGUCAUGCGGGGCGAAUUCAGGAGGGUGAACAAUCCUUCUGUUUGACGGUACCGCAAGAGGAAGCUCCGGCUAACUCCGUGCCAGCAGCCGCGGUAAUACGGGGGGAGCGAACGUUGUUCGGAAUCACUGGGCGUAAAGGGCGUGCAGGCGGCUCGGUAAGUGGAAGGUGAAAUGCCCUGGCUCAACCAGGGAACUGCCUUCCAUACUGUCGAGCUUGAGUGCGGGAGAGGAUGGGAGAAUUCCCGGUGUAGCGGUGGAAUGCAUUGAUAUCGGGAGGAAUACCAGUGGCGAAGGCGCCCAUCUGGCCCGACACUGACGCUCAGGCGCGAAAGCUAGGGGAGCAAACAGG